GCUGGGGAUUUAGCUCAGUGGUAGAGUGCUUGCCUAGCAUGAGUAAGGCACUGGGUUCGAUCCUCAGCACAGCA
RNAcentral lists this transfer RNA (74 nucleotides) under Marmota monax (woodchuck). RNAcentral describes it as "tRNA.Ala". Lineage: Eukaryota; Metazoa; Chordata; Mammalia; Rodentia; Sciuridae. The record is from RNAcentral.